Molecule: non-coding RNA, 71 nt
Organism: Canis lupus familiaris (dog)
Lineage: Eukaryota; Metazoa; Chordata; Mammalia; Carnivora; Canidae
Source: Rfam
GCCUGGCUGGCUGUCAGUAGAGCGUGUGACUCUUGAUCUCAGGGUCAUGGGUUCAAGCCCCAUGUUGGGCG